AACGAACGCUGGCGGCAUGCCUAACACAUGCAAGUCGAACGGGAUCCAGGCUUCGGCCUGGUGAGAGUGGCGGACGGGUGAGUAACACGUGGGAACCUGCCUUUUGGUUCGGGAUAACCGCGGGAAACUGCGGCUAAUACCGGAUGCUCCCGAGAGGGGAAAGAUUUAUCGCCAGAAGAGGGGCCCGCGUCCGAUUAGGUAGUUGGUGAGGUAAUGGCUCACCAAGCCGACGAUCGGUAGCUGGGUCUGAGAGGAUGAUCAGCCACACUGGGACUGAGAUACGGCCCAGACUCCUACGGGAGGCAGCAGUGGGAAUAUUGGACAAUGGGGCAACCCUGAUCCAGCAAUGCCGCGUGAGUGAUGAAGGCCUUAGGGUUGUAAAGCUCUUUUGCCAGGGAAGAUGAUGACUGUACCUGGAGAAUAAGCCCCGGCUAACUUCGUGCCAGCAGCCGCGGUAAU
Molecule: ribosomal RNA, 459 nt
Filed under: uncultured bacterium
Lineage: Bacteria
Description: bacterial SSU rRNA
Rfam family: Bacterial small subunit ribosomal RNA
Source: RNAcentral